UCGUAACAAGGUCUCCGUUGGUGAACCAGCGGAGGGAUCAUUAC
RNAcentral lists this ribosomal RNA (44 nucleotides) under Trichoderma longibrachiatum. RNAcentral describes it as "partial 18S ribosomal RNA". It matches the Rfam family "Eukaryotic small subunit ribosomal RNA", at positions 1789 to 1831 of the family's 1831-position model. RNAcentral also lists the same sequence under 10 other names. Lineage: Eukaryota; Fungi; Ascomycota; Sordariomycetes; Hypocreales; Hypocreaceae. The record is from RNAcentral.